UCCAAAUAUCUCUCAAAUUUUAAUGUAAAAGUGAAUUUUCUUUUUCUUUUUUAUAUUCUUUUCAUUUUGUUUGAUUUGAUUUUUCUUUGUUUCUUUGGUGGUCAAGUACUGUGUAGAGGGGGUGAUAUACAAUUUCAGUAGUAUGCUAGUCCUCCGAUUCUGAUGUUUUACUUUGUCUAAAUGCUCAUGUGAAAUACAUUGUAUUGUCAGUGUUGGUGUACAACUUCAAUUAGGGGUAAAAUGUUUUUUUUCAACCUUUGGGUUGAGAUUUUGAAGUUGGUAAGGAUGAGAGUUGGAGAAAUUCUGCACCUGUGACUGCUAUGGUGCAAUCUGUGAUUCACAAUAUAAGAAUCUUUGGUUUUUAGUAACUGAAACAAAACAAGUCUGAGCUGCAAUGAUCUGUGUGACAGGAAAAAAUGCUGAAAAUUUGGAAGGCGGACUUGGGAAGGGAAGCGAGAGGUAGAGCACAUGAGGGUUUUGCCAAUUCUUAGGCUGCAAAGAUGGAAAAAGAAGUAUCUACAGGCUUGCUAAGGGUAGAGAAAGAAAGACAAGAGGCUUGAAGAUGAACUGAUGAAGAGGGUAAAGUCUUAGUCACUAAACAAGAUAUUAAGGAAAGGAGGAAGAGUCACCUUCAAACUGUAUUUAAUGGAGGACAUGGGAUUUAAUUGCACUCUGAUAGGCUAAUCAGUAGAGAGGAGUGUUGGAAUGUAUAUGUAAUUUAGCAAAAAUAUCUCCUAUUAAUUAUUUUGUGUAUAAGUAGUAUUUGGUUUUAUUUUGAUCCUUAUUUUACUAGUUGGCUUAUUUUCUUAGUUUCCUAAUAUUAGAAGAGAUUGUAAAUUCUACUUCCAUUAUUUUCUCAGUUUCCUAUUGUUGGAGAUUGCAAACCAUCUGAUUACAAUCAAUCACGUGUUGCUGAACUUGCCACAAGAACAUUAUAGGUGAAAAGGGACGAGUUUGUCAAUUUCACCAUUUAAUCUCCUGUCAUGUUUCAUAUUGCAGAGAUUACAACUGAUUUGUCCUGUUAUUUCAAAUAAAGUGGCCAUAUAACUAUGGUGCUACGCAAGAUUUGUUUUUCCCCUCGAGAAUUUAAUUUACGUCUACAUCGUUGUACAAUUGCCCUUCCUGGCUAUUUUUCUCUUCUAUUCAUGUUUCAUCGCACUACUUAGUAUUUACAAUCAUUGUCCAUGGAUGAUUCAGUUAUUUUCUGUUAACUGAUCUGUCAUCCUGGUAUUCUCGGAUUUA
Molecule: long non-coding RNA, 1242 nt
Organism: Glycine soja
Lineage: Eukaryota; Viridiplantae; Streptophyta; Magnoliopsida; Fabales; Fabaceae
Exons: 2
Source: RefSeq, a predicted model, not a curated record